GAUGAUGGGCGUGUUGUCAGCAAUUUCAUUGCUCAAGCACUUCGUGAUGAACCAUUGACUGUCCAAAAACCUGGAACUCAAACUCGCAGUUUCUGUUAUGUUUCUGACAUGGUUGAUGGCCUCAUUCGACUCAUGGAAGGAGAGAACACUGGGCCAAUCAACAUUGGAAAUCCAGGUGAAUUUACCAUGAUUGAACUUGCUGAAAAUGUGAAGGAGCUUAUCAAUCCUGAUGUGGAGAUAAAGAUGGUGGAAAAUACUCCUGAUGAUCCAAGGCAGAGGAAACCUGACAUCACAAAGGCAAAGGAAUUGCUAGGUUGGGAACCAAAAGUCAAGUUGAGGGACGGCCUUCCCCUUAUGGAAGAGGACUUCCGCUUGAGACUAGGAGUCCCCAAAAAGAAAUGAAGAUGAGCAGUGUGAAAUUCUUGGAUGUCAUCAUCAGUGUGUGCUUGUUCUCCAUAUAUUUUACACUUGCCUAUGCCCUUAUUUCAUUCCCAUAUGAUAGGAAAUAAGUGGUGAUGAAUAUCACCCAUUUCCUUUAUUCCUACACUCGCCACGAUUGAGAGACUUGGGAAAGCUUUCUAUAGGUAUUUAACAUUAUAUAGUUAAAUACAAGUUUUUUUUUUUUUUUUUU
This 631-nucleotide unclassified non-coding RNA is filed under the name Hevea brasiliensis (rubber tree). Lineage: Eukaryota; Viridiplantae; Streptophyta; Magnoliopsida; Malpighiales; Euphorbiaceae. The record is from RNAcentral.